This 619-nucleotide ribosomal RNA is filed under the name uncultured bacterium. Its description in RNAcentral is "bacterial SSU rRNA". It matches the Rfam family "Bacterial small subunit ribosomal RNA", at positions 87 to 742 of the family's 1533-position model. The record is from RNAcentral.
UGCACUUAGUGGCGGACGGGUGAGUAACGCGUGGGUACCUGCCUCACACUGGGGGAUAACAGUUAGAAAUAGCUGCUAAUACCGCAUAAGUCCGCAUGGAAAAAACUCCGGUGGUGUGAGAUGGACCCGCGUCUGAUUAGCCAGUUGGCGGGGUAACGGCCCACCAAAGCGACGAUCAGUAGCCGGCCUGAGAGGGUGAACGGCCACAUUGGGACUGAGACACGGCCCAAACUCCUACGGGAGGCAGCAGUGGGGAAUAUUGCACAAUGGGGGAAACCCUGAUGCAGCGACGCCGCGUGAGUGAAGAAGUAUUUCGGUAUGUAAAGCUCUAUCAGCAGGGAAGAAAUGACGGUACCUGACUAAGAAGCACCGGCUAAAUACGUGCCAGCAGCCGCGGUAAUACGUAUGGUGCAAGCGUUAUCCGGAUUUACUGGGUGUAAAGGGAGCGUAGACGGAUGGGCAAGUCUGAUGUGAAAACCCGGGGCUCAACCCCGGGACUGCAUUGGAAACUGUUCAUCUAGAGUGCUGGAGAGGUAAGUGGAAUUCCUAGUGUAACGGUGAAAUGCGUAGAUAUUAGGAGGAACACCAGUGGCGAAGGCGGCUUACUGGACAGUAACUG